RNAcentral lists this ribosomal RNA (254 nucleotides) under uncultured bacterium. Its description in RNAcentral is "partial 16S ribosomal RNA". It matches the Rfam family "Bacterial small subunit ribosomal RNA", at positions 524 to 776 of the family's 1533-position model. The record is from RNAcentral.
UACGUAGGAGGCAAGCGUUGUCCGGAAUCACUGGGCGUAAAGGGUGUGUAGGCGGUUGUUUAAGUUUGGUGUGAAAUCUCCCGGCUCAACUGGGAGGGUGCGCCGAAUACUGAAUGACUUCGAGUGCGGGAGAGGAAAGUGGAAUUCCUGGUGUAGCGGUGAAAUGCGUAGAUAUCAGGAGGAACACCGGUGGUGUAGACGGCUUUCUGGACCGUAACUGACGCUGAGACACGAAAGCGUGGGUAGCAAACAGG